UUAUUAGCCAGGUGGAGAAGUAAACAACAUUAGCCUUAGACAUGAAUGUUCUUGGAUUUGUAUGCUUAAUAUGCUACUGGGAGGGUAUUUUUUCCAGUCCCUUGUUAACACAGUCUUCUACAGCUGAACAGAAGAACCCUGGAGGAUCUGUCAGCAUUACAUGCACUGGUUCUGGUUAUACGUUUUCAUCUUAUAACAUAUUCUGGAUCCGUCAAGCACCAGAAAAAGGACUGGAAUAUUUGGGUUAUGAUAGUGAUAGCAGCAGCUAUGCUAGCAGUGUGAAAGGACGCCUCACUCUGACAAGGGACACCUCCAACAGCCGAUCUUCUCUGCAGCUGACUAAUUUAAAAUCAGAAGACUCUGCCACAUAUUACUGUGCAAUAGUACACAGUGCUACAUGGAAUACAAAUGUUAAUACAAAAAUAGAUGCAGUACUUCCUUAUUUUUUAAACAGCAAUUACAAAUAUUGA
This is a non-coding RNA of Polypterus senegalus (gray bichir), 470 nucleotides long. Lineage: Eukaryota; Metazoa; Chordata; Cladistia; Polypteriformes; Polypteridae. The record is from the annotation of a RefSeq genome assembly.